Non-coding RNA from Cinara cedri, 204 nucleotides. Lineage: Eukaryota; Metazoa; Arthropoda; Insecta; Hemiptera; Aphididae. The record is from the annotation of a GenBank genome assembly.
CUUCGAAUACGCCACGAUAUCCAAAUUUUCUCUGAUACUUCAAUGCUAGAAAAAUUCCAUUAAUAUGCGUCUGUGGUAUUGAUAAAAAUCGUUAUUUAUUCAUAUACCCGUGAGAAUAAUAUUUAUUUAUCGGCCGACAAUAAUUUAAAAACAAUGGCAGAAUUAAAAUCAUUGUUAUAGUUGUAUACAGAAGUACAAUAUUAU